RNAcentral lists this ribosomal RNA (1241 nucleotides) under metagenome. RNAcentral describes it as "bacterial LSU rRNA". It matches the Rfam family "Bacterial large subunit ribosomal RNA", at positions 1564 to 2813 of the family's 2925-position model. The record is from RNAcentral.
UGAGUACGAGAUGCUACGGCAUCGAAGCAGUCUAUGUCAUACUUCCAAGAAAAGCUUGCAAUGUCAUAAACAAAUAAUGCCUGUACCAUAACCGACACAGGUGGGUAGGUAGAGUAUACUAAGGGGCGCGAGAUAACUCUCUCUAAGGAACUCGGCAAAAUGACUCCGUAACUUCGGGAGAAGGAGUGCCUUAUUUUUAUAAGGUUGCAAUAACAAGAUCCAAGCAACUGUUUACCAAAAACACAGGUCUCCGCCAAGUCGUAAGACGAUGUAUGGGGGCUGACGCCUGCCCAGUGCCAGAAGGUUAAAGAAGUUGGUUAGCAUUAGCGAAGCUGAUAACUGAAGCCCUGGUGAACGGCGGCCGUAACAAUAACGGUCCUAAGGUAGCGAAAUUCCUUGUCGGGUAAGUUCCGACCCGCACGAAAGGCGUAAUGAUUUGGAUACUGUCUCGGAGAGGGGCUCGGUGAAAUAGACUUGUCUGUGAAGAUGCGGACUACCUGCACCUGGACAGAAAGGCCCUAUGAAGCUUUACUGUAACUUGAGAUUGAAAUUGGACUUUAUCUGCGCAGUAUAGGUGGGAGACGUUGAAAAUAUUCUUGCGGGAAUAUUGGAGUCAUCAGUGAGAUACCACUCUUAUAAUGUUAGAUUUCUAACUUUGUAUCAUUAUCUGGUCAAAGAACAGUUUCAGGCGGGCAGUUUGACUGGGGCGGUCGCCUCCCAAACGGUAACGGAGGCGCACAAAGGUUUCCUCUGAACGUGUAGAAAUCGUAUCUAGAGUGUAAAGGCAUAAGGAAGCUUGACUGUGAGACCUACAAGUCGAGCAGGGACGAAAGUCGGUCUUAGUGAUCUGACGGUGCUGAGUGGAAAGGCCGUCACUCAACGGAUAAAAGUUACUCUAGGAUAACAGGCUGACCUCCCCCAAGAGUUCAGAUCGACGGGGAGGUUUGGCACCUCGAUGUCGGCUCAUCGCAUCCUGGGGCGGUAGUACGUCCCAAGGGUUGGGCUGUUCGCCCAUGAAAGCGGUACGCGAGCUGGGUUCAGAACGUCGUGAGACAGUUCGGUCCAUAUCCGGUGUAGGCGUUAGAAUAUUGAGAGGAGCCUUCUUUAGUACGAGAGGACCGAGAAGGACAUACCUCUGGUGUACCAGUUAUCGUGCCAACGGUAAACGCUGGGUAGCCAUGUAUGGAGAGGAUAACCGCUGAAAGCAUCUAAGUGGGAAGCCCACCUCAAGAUAAGUAUCC